UGGCUCAGAGGUUAAAGUGUUUGCCUGCAAUGCAGGAGACCUGGGUUCGAUCCCUAG
Molecule: transfer RNA, 57 nt
Filed under: Bos taurus (domestic cattle)
Lineage: Eukaryota; Metazoa; Chordata; Mammalia; Artiodactyla; Bovidae
Also listed under: 3 other names
Rfam family: tRNA
About the family: Transfer RNA (tRNA) molecules are approximately 80 nucleotides in length.
Source: Rfam by way of RNAcentral